UGAAAAGAACCCCGGGAGGGGAGUGAAAUAGAACCUGAAACCGUGUGCCUACAACCGGUCAAAGCCCCUUAUGAGGGUGAUGACGUGCUUUUUGUAGAACGAGCCAACGAGUUACGGUAUGUAGCAAGGUUAAGUACUUAAGGUACGGAGCCGAAGGGAAACCGAGUCUUAAUAGGGCGACUAGUUGCAUGCCGUAGACCCGAAACCGGGUGACCUAUCCAUGGCCAGGUUGAAGCGGGGGUAAAACCCCGUGGAGGACCGAACCACGUUGCUGUUGAAAAAGCAUGGGAUGAGCUGUGGAUAGCGGAGAAAUUCCAAUCGAACUCGGAGAUAGCUGGUUCUCCUCGAAAUAGCUUUAGGGCUAGCGUCGGAUAUGAGUAGUGGAGGUAGAGCACUGAAUGGGCUAGGGGGCAUAGCGCUUACCGAACCUUAUCAAACUCCGAAUGCCACAUACUAUUAGUCCGGCAGUCAGACUGCGAAAGAUAAGUUCCGUAGUCAAAAGGGAAACAGCCCAGAUCGUCAGCUAAGGUCCCAAAGUGUAAGUUAAGUGGAAAAGGAUGUGGGAUUUCUAAGACAACUAGGAUGUUGGCUUAGAAGCAGCCACUCAUUAAAAGAGUGCGUAAUAGCUCACUAGUCGAGAGAUCCUGCGCCGAAGAUGUCCGGGGCUCAAACUUACCACCGAAGCUACGGGUUCACACUUAUGUGUGAGCGGUAGAGGAGCGUCGUAAUCGGGCUGAAGUCGUACCGUAAGGAGCGGUGGACUGAUUACGAGUGAGAAUGUUGGCAUUAGUAGCGAGAUGUGGGUGAGAAUCCCACAGGCCGAAUAUCUAAGGUUUCCUCAGGAAGGUUCGUCCGCUGAGGGUUAGUCGGGACCUAAGCCGAGGCCGAAAGGCGUAGGCGAUGGACAAUCGGUUGAUAUUCCGAUACCACUACUGAUCGUUAUUAUCGAUGGUGUGACGGAGAAGGAUAGAGUGUGCUAGCUAUUGGAUGCUAGUCUAAGCGUUUAGGGAGUUAGGAAAGGCAAAUCCGUCCUAACAAUUCUGAGGCGUGAUGGGGAAGGUUCUACGGAACCGAAGUACUUGAUUCCAUGCUUCCAAGAAAAGCAUCUAGAGAGAGAUGUAGUGCCCGUACCGCAAACCGACACAGGUAGAUGAGGAGAGAAUCCUAAGGCCGGCGGAAGAAUCACAGUUAAGGAACUAGGCAAAUUGACCCCGUAACUUAGGGAGAAGGGGUGCCUGUGAGAGCAGGCCGCAGAGAAUAGGCCCAAGCAACUGUUUAGCAAAAACACAGGUCUCUGCUAAAGCGAAAGCUGAUGUAUAGGGGCUGACGCCUGCCCGGUGCUGGAAGGUUAAGGGGAACACUUAGCGCAAGCGAAGGUGUGAACUUAAGCCCCAGUAAACGGCGGCCGUAACUAUAACGGUCCUAAGGUAGCGAAAUUCCUUGUCAGGUAAGUUCUGACCCGCACGAAUGGCGUAAUGACUUGGGCACUGUCUCAACUGUGAAUCCGGCGAAGUUGUAGUGCGAGUGAAGAUGCUCGCUACCCGCGAUUGGACGGAAAGACCCCGUAGAGCUUUACUGUAGCUUAGCAUUGAAUUUCGGUAUUGUCUGUACAGGAUAGGUGGGAGACUGGGAAAUCAGGGCGUCAGCCUUGAUGGAGUCGUCCUUGGGAUACCACCCUGACAGUACUGAGGUUCUAACUGGAUGCCAUGAAUCUGGUGACAGGACAUUGUUAGGUGGGCAGUUUGACUGGGGCGGUCGCCUCCUAAAAAGUAACGGAGGCGCCCAAAGGUUCCCUCAGAACGGUCGGAAAUCGUUCGAAGAGUGCAAAGGCAGAAGGGAGCCUGACUGCGACACCCACAAGUGGAGCAGGGACGAAAGUCGGGCUUAGUGAUCCGGUGGUACCUCGUGGGAGGGCCAUCGCUCAACGGAUAAAAGCUACCUCGGGGAUAACAGGCUGAUCUCCCCCAAGAGUCCACAUCGACGGGGAGGUUUGGCACCUCGAUGUCGGCUCGUCGCAUCCUGGGGCUG
This 2028-nucleotide ribosomal RNA is filed under the name human gut metagenome. Its description in RNAcentral is "bacterial LSU rRNA". It matches the Rfam family "Bacterial large subunit ribosomal RNA", at positions 515 to 2555 of the family's 2925-position model. The record is from RNAcentral.